This 482-nucleotide ribosomal RNA is filed under the name uncultured bacterium. RNAcentral describes it as "partial 16S ribosomal RNA". It matches the Rfam family "Bacterial small subunit ribosomal RNA", at positions 28 to 523 of the family's 1533-position model. The record is from RNAcentral.
GACGAACGCUGGCGGCGUGCUUAACACAUGCAAGUCGAACGAUGAAGAAGAGCUUGCUCUUCGGAUUAGUGGCGAACGGGUGAGUAACACGUGACUAACCUGCCCCUUUCUCUGGGAUAACGCUCCGAAAGGAGUGCUAAUACCGGAUACUCACAUCGAGGCACAUGCCUUGAUGUGGAAAGUUUUUCGGAAAGGGAUGGAGUCGCGGCCUGUCAGCUUGUUGGUGAGGUAACGGCUCACCAAGGCGACGACGGGUAGCCGGCCUGAGAGGGCGACCGGCCACACGGGGACGGAGACACGGCCCAGACUCCUACGGGAGGCAGCAGUGGGGAAUAUUGCACAAUGGGCGAAAGCCUGAUGCAGCGACGCCGCGUGAGGGAUGAAGGUCUUCGGAUUGUAAACCUCUUUCAGUAGGGACGAAGCGAAAGUGACGGUACCUAAAGAAGAAGCACCGGCUAACUACGUGCCAGCCGCCGCCGUAA